CCUACGGGAGGCAGCAGUGAGGAAUAUUGGUCAAUGGGAGAGAUCCUGAACCAGCCAAGCCGCGUGAGGGAAGACGGCCCUCUGGGUUGUACACCUCUUUUGUCGGAGAACAAAACCCGGGACGUGUCCCGGACUGCGUGUAUCCGAAGAAAAAGCAUCGGCUAACUCCGGUCCAGCAGCCGCGGUCAUACGGGGGAUGCGCGCGUUAUCCGGAUUUAUUGGGUUUAAAGGGUGCUAAGGCGUUCCGUUAAGUCAGCGGUAAAAUUGCGGGGCUAAAACCCGUCGAGCCGUUGAAACUGGCAGACUGGAGUGGGCGAGAAGUACGCGGAAUGCGCGGUGUAGCGGUGAAAUGCAUAGAUAUCGCGCAGAACUCCGAUUGCGAAGGCAGCGUACCGGCGCCAGACUGACGCUGAGGCACGAAAGCGUGGGGAUCGAACAGGAUUAGAUACCCUGGUAGUC
This 459-nucleotide ribosomal RNA is filed under the name uncultured bacterium. Its description in RNAcentral is "partial 16S ribosomal RNA". It matches the Rfam family "Bacterial small subunit ribosomal RNA", at positions 338 to 795 of the family's 1533-position model. The record is from RNAcentral.